Molecule: ribosomal RNA, 800 nt
Filed under: Corallococcus coralloides
Lineage: Bacteria; Pseudomonadati; Myxococcota; Myxococcia; Myxococcales; Myxococcaceae
Description: bacterial SSU rRNA
Rfam family: Bacterial small subunit ribosomal RNA
Source: RNAcentral
CCCUUAGUAGAGCGGCGCACGGGUGCGUAACACGUGGAUAAUCUGCCUGGAUGCCUGGGAUAACCAGUCGAAAGAUUGGCUAAUACCGGAUAAGCCCACGGUUUCUUCGGAGACUGAGGGAAAAGGUGGCCUCUGUAUACAAGCUAUCACAACCAGAUGAGUCCGCGGCCCAUCAGCUAGUUGGCGGGGUAAUGGCCCACCAAGGCGACGACGGGUAGCUGGUCUGAGAGGACGAUCAGCCACACUGGAACUGAGACACGGUCCAGACUCCUACGGGAGGCAGCAGUGGGGAAUUUUGCGCAAUGGGCGAAAGCCUGACGCAGCAACGCCGCGUGUGUGAUGAAGGUCUUUGGAUUGUAAAGCACUUUCGACCGGGACGAAACCGUAAAGCCUAAUACGCUUUGCCUUGACGGUACCGGGAGAAGAAGCACCGGCUAACUCUGUGCCAGCAGCCGCGGUAAUACAGAGGGUGCAAGCGUUGUUCGGAAUUAUUGGGCGUAAAGCGCGUGUAGGCGGCUUUGCAAGUCGGGUGUGAAAGCCCUCAGCUCAACUGAGGAAGUGCGCCCGAAACUGCAGAGCUUGAGUGCCGGAGAGGGUGGCGGAAUUCCCCAAGUAGAGGUGAAAUUCGUAGAUAUGGGGAGGAACACCGGUGGCGAAGGCGGCCACCUGGACGGUAACUGACGCUGAGACGCGAAAGCGUGGGUAGCAAACAGGAUUAGAUACCCUGGUAGUCCACGCCGUAAACGAUGAGAACUAGGUGUCGUGGGAGUUGACCCCCGCGGUGCCGUAGCUAACGCAUU